UAAGGGACGAAAGCGUGGGGAGCAAACAGGAUUAGAUACCCUGGUAGUCCACGCCGUAAACGAUGAUCAUUAGUUGGUGGCAAAAGUCACUAACACAGCUAACGCGUUAAAUGAUCCGCCUGAGUAGUAUGCUCGCAAGAGUGAAACUUAAAGGAAUUGACGGGAACCCGCACAAGCGGUGGAGCAUGUGGUUUAAUUUGAAGAUACGCGUAGAACCUUACCCACUCUUGACAUUCUCGCAAAACUAUAGAGAUAUAGCCGAGGCUAACGAGAUCACAGAUGGUGCAUGGUUGUCGUCAGCUCGUGUCGUGAGAUGUUAGGUUAAGUCCUGCAACGAGCGCAACCCUUUUCUUUAGUUGCUAACAUUUAGUUGAGAACCCUAAAGAUACUGCCGGCGCAAGCCGGAGGAAGGUGGGGACGACGUCAAAUCAUCAUGCCUCUUACGAGUGGGGCAACACACGUGCUACAAUGGCUACUACAAAGAGCAGCAAAACAGUGAUGUCAAGCUAAUCUCAAAAAAGUAGUCUCAGUUCGGAUUGAAGUCUGCAACUCGACUUCAUGAAGUCGGAAUCGCUAGUAAUCGCAGGUCAGCUAUACUGCGGUGAAUACGUUCUCGGGUUUUGUACACACCGCCCGUCACACCAUGGGAGUUGGUAAUGCCCAAAGUCGGUGAGUUAACUUCGGAGACCAUUGCCUAAGGCAGGACCGAUGACUGGGG
RNAcentral lists this ribosomal RNA (718 nucleotides) under Mesomycoplasma hyopneumoniae. Its description in RNAcentral is "bacterial SSU rRNA". It matches the Rfam family "Bacterial small subunit ribosomal RNA", at positions 747 to 1480 of the family's 1533-position model. The record is from RNAcentral. Lineage: Bacteria; Bacillati; Mycoplasmatota; Mycoplasmoidales; Metamycoplasmataceae.